RNAcentral lists this ribosomal RNA (65 nucleotides) under Fusarium oxysporum. RNAcentral's name for it is "partial 18S ribosomal RNA". The stretch from base 1 to 54 matches the Rfam family "Eukaryotic small subunit ribosomal RNA", at positions 1778 to 1831 of the family's 1831-position model. The record is from RNAcentral. Lineage: Eukaryota; Fungi; Ascomycota; Sordariomycetes; Hypocreales; Nectriaceae.
GGAAGUAAAAGUCGUAACAAGGUCUCCGUUGGUGAACCAGCGGAGGGAUCAUUACCGAGUUUACA